Molecule: ribosomal RNA, 2022 nt
Filed under: Triticum aestivum (bread wheat)
Lineage: Eukaryota; Viridiplantae; Streptophyta; Magnoliopsida; Poales; Poaceae
Description: partial small subunit ribosomal RNA
Source: RNAcentral
AAUACAAUUCUAGCAUGGAUAAUAAACGAUUAUCAUGAACAAGGAAAUAUAAUAAUAAUCAAUUUAUUAUUGCCUCUAGGGCAUAUUUCCAACACCGCCACCGCAUCCCCAUGCCCAGCUACCGACGAACCCGUGUGGCCGAUAGCAUCCCCGGUAUCCACCCAGCCUCCCUCCACCGACUGCGCUGCCCCCAAUCCGAACACAGAUUCUCCAGGGCCCACCACCACCACACAUGCUGCCUCGUCUGUUCCGCCCUCCCCAGGUUCCGCUACCCCUAAUCCCCACACCGAUUCUCUAGGGCCCACCACCACACCCAUGCAUCCUUCGCAUGCAACUUCAUCCCCUUCCCAUGCUUCGCCUCCUUCCCCGUCCAGACAGCCUACACCGCUAUCAUCUACCCCUCUUUCUUCUUCUCCACAACCACGUCCAUUACCACCUGCUGCCAUUCCCGUUCCUAUUCCCACCAAUGCGCAUACCAUGUGUACUCGCAGCAAGGCAAGGUUCGGUCAACCUUCCAAACGCCUCAACCUCACUGCGUCCCCUACUUCUCUCUCUCCCAUACCUAACUCCUACAAAGCUGCUCUUCUCGAUCCUAACUGGUUCAACACCAUGCGCGAGGAAUACGAUGCUCUUCUCCUGAACAAUACCUGGUCUCUCAUCCCUCAUCCCGUUGGUGCUAAUGUUGUUUCCGACAAAUGGGUUUUUCGGCACAAGUUCAACUCACACGGCUCUCUUUCUCGCUACAAAGCUCGUUGGGUAUGUCGUGGUGAUUCCCAACAGGCCGGUGUUGAUUUCGACAAGACUUUCUCUCCUGUAAUUAAGCCAAGCACGAUUCGCGUUGUUCUCAGCCUUGCUAUUUCCUCCUCAUGGCCCAUUCAUCAGUUAGAUGUGAAGAAUGCCUUUCUACAUGGAUCUCUCACCGAAACAAUUUUUUGCCAGCAACCCCUCGGAUUCGUUAAUCCGUCUCUUCCCGAUCACGUAUGCCACCUGCAGAAAUCCCUAUAUGGUAUAAAACAGGCGCCCCGCGCUUGGUUUCAACGAUUCGCCACGUUCUUGCACACCAUUGGUUUCCUUCCUUCUCGUUCUGACUCCUCUCUCUUCAUUCUCAAAACACCCAACCACAUUGCUUAUUUUCUUUUAUAUGUUGAUGACAUUGUCCUCACUGCCUCCUCUGAUGCUUUUUUACACCACAUUAUUCGCUCACUACGCCACGAGUUCAACAUGACAGACCUUGGAUCUCUCCAUCAUUUGCUUGGCAUUGCCGUAUCUAGAUCUUCCUCCGGUCUCUUUCUUUCUCAGCGUCAGUAUGCACUAGAUCUUCUCUCUAAGGCCGGCAUGUCUGGCUGUCAUCCCUCCCGCACUCCCGCUGAAACUGGUUGUAAACUUUCUUCUGAUGGCAAACCUUUCUCCGAUCCUACUCUCUAUCGCAGCCUCACAGGAGCUCUUCAAUACAUGACUCUCACUCGCCCUGAACUCACCUAUGCCAUUCAACAAGCCUGUCUACAUAUGCAUGACCCACGUGUUCCUCACUACAAUCAUGUCAAACGCAUUCUGCGCUACCUCAAAGGGACUCUUGACCACGGUCUCUCUAUCACACAUUCCGCUCCAACUUCUCUCACAACGUACUCCGAUGCCGACUGGGCUGGAUGCCCAGAUACUCGUAGGUCUACCUCUGGUUAUUGUGUGUACUUGGGUGAUAACUUGAUUUCAUGGUCUUCGAAGAGACAGCUCACUGUUUCCAGGUCAUCCGCUGAAGCCGAGUACCGCUCUGUCGCACACGCUGUUGCCGAAACUGUAUGGCUUCGUCAACUACUCAGCGAGCUGCACCGACCUCUUCAACAAGCUACACUCGUCUACUGUGAUAAUUUUUCUGCCGUGUACAUGUCUUGUAAUCCUGUGCAACACCGUAGAACUAAGCAUAUAGAGAUAGACAUCCACUUUGUUAGGAAGAAGGUAGCUCUCGGUGAUGUUCGUGUCAUGCACGUUCCUACAAGUGCUCAAUUCGCCGACAUCUUCACCAAG